CCUACGGGAGGCAGCAGUGGGGAAUCUUGGACAAUGGGGGCAACCCUGAUCCAGCCAUGCCGCGUGAGGGAUGAAGGCCUCUGGGCUGUAAACCUCUUUUAUCAAGGAAGAAGAUCUGACGGUACUUGAUGAAUAAGCCACGGCUAAUUCCGUGCCAGCAGCCGCGGUAAUACGGGAGUGGCAAGCGUUAUCCGGAAUUAUUGGGCGUAAAGCGUCCGCAGGCGGCCCUUCAAGUCUGCUGUUAAAAAGUGGAGCUUAACUCCAUCAUGGCAGUGGAAACUGUUGGGCUUGAGUGUGGUAGGGGCAGAGGGAAUUCCCGGUGUAGCGGUGAAAUGCGUAGAUAUCGGGAAGAACACCAGUGGCGAAGGCGCUCUGCUGGGCCAUCACUGACGCUCAUGGACGAAAGCCAGGGGAGCGAAAGGGAUUAGAUACCCCUGUAGUCCUGGCCGUAAACGAUGAACACUAGGUGUCGGGGGAAUCGACCCCCUCGGUGUCGUAGCCAACGCGUUAAGUGUUCCGCCUGGGGAGUACGCACGCAAGUGUGAAACUCAAAUGAAUUGACGG
RNAcentral lists this ribosomal RNA (564 nucleotides) under uncultured bacterium. RNAcentral describes it as "bacterial SSU rRNA". It matches the Rfam family "Bacterial small subunit ribosomal RNA", at positions 338 to 916 of the family's 1533-position model. The record is from RNAcentral.